This is a long non-coding RNA of Balaenoptera acutorostrata (minke whale), 689 nucleotides long. RefSeq lists it as uncharacterized. The record is from RefSeq and is a predicted model, not a curated record. The transcript has 3 exons. NCBI's taxonomy places the organism in Eukaryota, Metazoa, Chordata, Mammalia, Artiodactyla, Balaenopteridae.
CCGGCCCCCGCCCCCGUCUGCGGAGAGGAGGGGGCGCCCGACGCCGCACCCGGACUCCUCAAGAAUCAACAGUAGGACAUCUCUCUGGAAGACAUGGCUGGUAAUGCUGCCUAGGAAUGUGAAAAUUGGAACAAUAAUGUGCAAGGGAAGGCACUGCUGGAUUCUGGAAAUGUGUCAGUUGCUGGAGAGCAUCCUGCAUGAUUCCAGAUGUACGACGAGCAGGCAAUAUUGUUCUCCUGCACGACUUGAGGAGGUGCAACAGGUGCAUCUAGUCAAAUCCUUUUGCUCCACGGCCUUCCAGGCACUCUGUGUCAGAGCCCAGAAUUACUCCUGGAACCUCACGUCAAUCACUCUCUCUCUCCUUCACUCCCUCCGUUGACAGUGGCCGUGUACACCAAGCAGGCUCCUGCCUCUGAGCUUUGUCCUUGCUGCCCCUCUGCCUGGAAGACUCUUCCCCCAGAUCCUCCCCUGAUGAGCUGCAUGUCCAGGUCUCAUCUCACAUAGGACCUGCUCAGAGUGGCUAUCCCUGUGCUUCUCCAGCUCUGGUCAAGUCUCUUUCUAUCACAGUAUAGCCUUUAAUGGUCUUCUCUUCUGAACUGUAUUCUUUAACCUGCUUAUUGUCUACUUUCUCCUACUAAAAUAUAAAAUUCAAUAAAUCAUGUCUAUCUUCUCUGACAGAGUAUCCAAAG